GGUGGGGUACCACAGUGGUAUGAAUGUUGGGACUAUGGCUCUGGAGACCAGGGUUCGAUUCCCAGCUCAGCCG
This is a non-coding RNA of Phrynosoma platyrhinos (Desert horned lizard), 73 nucleotides long. The record is from the annotation of a GenBank genome assembly. NCBI's taxonomy places the organism in Eukaryota, Metazoa, Chordata, Lepidosauria, Squamata, Phrynosomatidae.